UACAGAGGUGACAAACGUUGUCCGGAAUCACUGGGCGUAAAGGGCACGUAGGCGGUAUGGUAAGUCAGGUGUGAAAUCUUCGGGCUCAACCCGGAAAUUGCACUUGAAACUGCCAUUCUUGAGUUCGGUAGAGGAGGGCGGAAUUCCUGGUGUAGCGGUGAAAUGCGUAGAUAUCAGGAGGAACACCGGUGGCGAAGGCGGCCCUCUGGUCCGAUACUGACGCUGAUGUGCGAAAGCGUGGGGAGCAAACAGG
This 253-nucleotide ribosomal RNA is filed under the name uncultured bacterium. Its description in RNAcentral is "partial 16S ribosomal RNA". It matches the Rfam family "Bacterial small subunit ribosomal RNA", at positions 524 to 776 of the family's 1533-position model. The record is from RNAcentral.